Molecule: long non-coding RNA, 1897 nt
Filed under: Gossypium barbadense (sea-island cotton)
Lineage: Eukaryota; Viridiplantae; Streptophyta; Magnoliopsida; Malvales; Malvaceae
Description: long non-coding RNA (GBAR_LNC006206)
Source: RNAcentral
AAAUUAAAACAUAUUCCAUCGCUAACAAACCUACGUUUACAACAAAACACCAAGCUUUAAAUAUUUUCUCGCGAUAAAUACCUGCAAUCGCCAAGGAAGAUGCCAUUUUGUUGCCUUUCUUAUCAGCCAUAUAGAAACCAAACAGCUUCUUUAGUUUCUUCCAUCGAAAACGGUUCCUCCAAUUUCAAAACCAUUUCCUCAUUAAACAUUCUGAACUUCAGAACCAAGUCCAUAUUCCAUCUUCUUGUUGGACAAUCAAAAUAGUUUUUGAAAAAAUUGUACAAACUCUCUUUCAUCUCCUUAGGUUCCUUGUACCAUCGGCCCCCAAUUUUUAGGCUAUACACCAUCUUUCUAUUAGCUUUGAUUUUAACAGCUCUAUGGAAAAAAGCACUGUUGGUAUCCCCUGCUUUUAACUAUGUCAUCCUUGAUUUUUGUCGCCAAAUAGAUUCUUUAAAUUUUAUUGUUUUCCAAAGCUCGAUGUUCAACUUUUUUAACUCAUCCGCUUCCUGCCCAGUCAACAUUCUUUGUUCACUUACUUCAUCUAUCUCCGUUAUCCUAUCUUCUUUUCAAUAAAUAUUUUUUCCAAAAUAUUGCCAGCAUAAAAGAUUCCUAUUCUUACGCAAUUUAACUGCCGUUUGCCCUCUUAAACAACCCAUUCCUGACCAUUCUAUCUCAAUUAAUCUUAUAUAGUCAUCUUUUUGAACCAUGCAUUAAUGAACUUGAAAGGUUUUGGCCCCCAGUCAAUAGAUUCAUUUACCAACAAGACUGGUAUGUGGUCCGAUAUCGAUCUGUUAACCCUUAUCUGUUGUAAGUCCUUCAAACGAACCAGCCAAUCUUCCUCAAGUAAAAAUCAGUUAAGUCUGCUACGUUUACUGUCCAGAUUAAUCCAAGUGAACUUUUUUCCCAAUAGCGGCAGGUCAACCAACUUACAUUUAUAAAAAAACUCACCAAACUCCUUUGACCCCUUUCUCAAAGCCCUAAAAUUAAUUCGUUCACUUCUAUUUCUCACCACGUUAAAAUACUCACCUAUUAUCCAUGCUCUAGUAAAUUGAUUUCUUGACCCGUAUAGCUCUUCCCACAGAAUUUUUUUAUCUGAGAUUUUUGGGAGCAUAUACAUAAUUAGGACUGCCUCUUUCCCUUCAUGCACCCAUUUACCUUCGACUAUAAUAAACCACUUCCCACAAAACUCUACAUCGACCGAAACCAUACCCUUAUCCCAUAUUGUUAAUAAACCUCCUGAUCUUUCUAUUGCAGCAGUGAAUUUAAAAUCAAAACAGUCAUCACUUCAAUCUUUCUAACUAAAUCUAUUGACACAUUUUCUAACUAAGUUUCUUGAAGGAAACAAACAUUAGCCCUAGUCAUUCUCACUAAACUAUUGACAGCAUCAAUUUUAGAUACCGAUCCCAGCCCUCUAAUGUUCUAGGUGACAAUUUGCAUAUUUCCAACCAAAUUGAUCAAUUAAAAAUAAAACCAAUUUAAACAACCACUCACCAGAAUCUCAAAACCCCCUACCCUCUGCCUUUGAUGGCUCCCUAUUGCUUUCCUUCAACCCUCAUUAUCUCUUCGAUAAUUAUCUCCUCAUCACCUUCCACACAAAAUCCCAGUCUUUUUCCCCACCUUCCACGUCUUCUUCACUUCUUUGAAGAUGACUUCCUUCUGUUACUGAUGUCCAAAUUCAAUAAUGACAAAUUUGCUAUGCUUUCGUCGUUCUUGGAAUCCCCAUUUCCUUUCGAUUUUCUAAUUCCCCUGUCCCUCUUCUGCUUCUCUUUCGUUGUAGGCACUAUGUCCUGAAUCUCUUGCAUGGAUCUGAUCUUCUUAUUCAACACUUUCUUGUUUCUUUUGUUCUGUCUUAUUUGAAAAAAUUCCUCUUCAAUUUCUGAUGCUGUAAUCCUAUCCC